AUUGAACGCUGGCGGCAUGCUUUACACAUGCAAGUAGGACGAGUGGCGAACGGGUGAGUAACGCAUCGGAACGUACGGAGUAAUGGGAGAUAAUUGUCCGAAAGGACAGCUAAUACUGCAAAUUAUUCGAUCGGCUGAUGUCUGAUUAGCUGGCUGGGGGGGUAAAGGCUCACCAAGGCGAAGAUCAGUAGCGGGUCUGAGAGGAUGAUCCGCCACACUGGGACUGAGACACGGCCCAGACUCCUACGGGAGGCAGCAGUGGGGAAUUUUAGACAAUGGGCGCAAGCCUGAUCCAGCCAUGCCGCGUGUCUGAAGAAGGCCUUCGGGUUGUAAAGGACUUUUGUCAGGGAAGCGGUACCUGAACAAUAAGCACCGGCUAACUCCGUGCCAGCCGCCGCGGUAAUAC
RNAcentral lists this ribosomal RNA (406 nucleotides) under uncultured bacterium. Its description in RNAcentral is "partial 16S ribosomal RNA". It matches the Rfam family "Bacterial small subunit ribosomal RNA", at positions 30 to 526 of the family's 1533-position model. The record is from RNAcentral.